This 449-nucleotide ribosomal RNA is filed under the name uncultured bacterium. RNAcentral's name for it is "bacterial SSU rRNA". It matches the Rfam family "Bacterial small subunit ribosomal RNA", at positions 328 to 792 of the family's 1533-position model. The record is from RNAcentral.
GUGCCAGACUCCUACGGGAGGCAGCAGUGGGGAAUAUUGCACAAUGGGGGGAACCCUGAUGCAGCGACGCCGCGUGAGGGAAGACGGUUUUCGGAUUGUAAACCUCUGUCUUUAGGGACGAAACAAAUGACGGUACCUAAAGAGGAAGCCACGGCUAACUACGUGCCAGCAGCCGCGGUAAUACGUAGGUGGCAAGCGUUGUCCGGAAUUACUGGGUGUAAAGGGAGCGUAGGCGGGACUGCAAGUUGGGUGUCAAAUCUACCGGCUCAACCGGUAGCCGCACUCAAAACUGCAGUUCUUGAGUGAAGUAGAGGCAGGCGGAAUUCCUAGUGUAGCGGUGAAAUGCGUAGAUAUUAGGAGGAACACCAGUGGCGAAGGCGGCCUGCUAGGCUUUUACUGACGCUGAGGCUCGAAAGUGUGGGGAGCAAACAGGAUUAGAUACCCGCGUA